CACACACUACUAACUACUGUAGACUACAACUCCUAAUAACCUCAGCCAUUCUAAUGGGUGGCUCACAACUUCCAGCAUGGCCAUACAUCCCGUUAUACUAAUGAGAUGCAGCAAUGAUACUUUUUGUUCAAACUAUCCAGUCAUCACACCAGCUGCUGUGCAGCACAACUCCCACAAGUCUCAUCCAAUCUGAUGUCGAAGUGUUGUUCUCUUAUCCGCUGUAUUUCCAGAGAGCCUUGUGCAUCCUGAAGUACUGGUGUAUUGCUUGGUGGUCCAGCCCUCUUCAAUCACGUUGAGAAUGAGGCUUUCAGUUGAAUACUUCUCAGUCUCCAAAGUAGCCCCAGGCCAGCCUAGGGCUGUAUCUGGAGCCUCGUGCUGUCUCUGUACGCUCCUCCCAAACUCUGCCCACU
This is a non-coding RNA of Pelobates cultripes (western spadefoot toad), 410 nucleotides long. The record is from the annotation of a GenBank genome assembly. NCBI's taxonomy places the organism in Eukaryota, Metazoa, Chordata, Amphibia, Anura, Pelobatidae.